AAGAUGAUCCGUGAGUAUCUUAGGGCGUGUUUGGCUAUGAGACCCUUAGAAAAAACCUUUUCCAAUUUUUUAAAUUCUUUCAAUUGAAUCCCUUCAGGAAUGGGAAUGCACUAUUGGGAAAAGAUAGAUUUUCUAAUUGGGGUACGUUGAUCCCCUCAUCCAUUUUUCACUCUUACCAAUUUUAUUCCUCUUUCUUUUUU
This 200-nucleotide long non-coding RNA is filed under the name Lathyrus oleraceus (garden pea). Its description in RNAcentral is "Pisum sativum (pea) long non-coding RNA (PSAT_LNC024796)". The record is from RNAcentral. Lineage: Eukaryota; Viridiplantae; Streptophyta; Magnoliopsida; Fabales; Fabaceae.